GAUUUUGGACUCCAUCACCUCCAACCAGCUUCCACUUGCAGGCUCAGACCACUGGUGAGAAUACUGUCUUAUCACCGUUCAGAAUUGCAAGUAAAAACUCUUAGGAGUGAUGAGGCCGCACUCUGAUGAUGUGCUUGUGCAGCAGAAAACUGUGAAAAUGCAAAAAACUUAGCGUGUGACAUUUUUAACCUCAUCGACAGGUCUAACUUUAUUUCAGAGCAUUAAUAUAAAUUAAUCAUAUACAUAUGAUACAUUUAUAGAUUAUAUUACAUUACAUUAUAUAUUAUCAUAUAUCAUGUACAUAUGAUCAUGUAUCAUUUAUAUGAUCACGUAUUUCUUCUAUAUAUUUGCAGAGCUUUCUUGAAGCUUUGGUUAAACAAAGGAGAGAUAAAGAGAAUAUUCCUACCUGCAGUGACACCUUCAGUGACUUUUUCAACAGAACUAAGUCUUGAGAUGAUGACUGGUUACCUUUUGUUGCUCAGGUCAAACACCCAGAGCCCUGCAGGUAGACUAAACCCCUGACCGCAGAUGUACCCCCACCCCCCACCCGUCUCCUCCUCUCCGUGCAGAGACCUUCUGCAGCCUCAUUCUCUGAUCACUGGCCUGAUUAAUAGGAGACCGAAUUGGAAAUUUAAUUGGAUGUUGUUACAAUUAUAAAGGCCUGGUCUCCCUAGAGCUGUGACUCUGACUGUCUGUAGGCACCGAGGGGGAAACAAGAUAUCAGCAGGAAGAACAUGUUCUGUCACAUAUUGCGCCCCAAGAUUCCCCCAAUACAGGGGGAGGGUGAGGUGUGUAAGAUCACCGUCCAAAGGGGAGCUGUUUAAACAGAAGAAACUGCUGCUGAACACAGAUAAUAGUUUAGUAAAUAAUAAUAAUAAUAAUAAUAAUAAUAAUAAUAAUAAUAAUAAUAAUAAUAAUAAUAAUAAUAAUUAUUAUUAUUAUUAUUAUUAUUAUUAUUAUUAUUAUUAUUAUUAUUAUAUUAUGUAAAAAUUAUAAUGACAUAAUAGUUAUUAUUAUUAUUAUUAUUAUUAUUAUUUUAACUUUCAUUACUAUUAUUUUCCUAAUCAUCAUUGGAUUAUUAAUAUAAAUGAUAAAAUAAUAAUAAUGCUGAGAUGUUGUUAAUUUUAUAUAUUGCAGAAACUAUGCUGCUGCGCUCUUGGCAAAGUCUCCCUUGUAAAAGAGAUUCGUAAUCUCAGUGGGACUACCCUGGUUGAAUAAAGGCUAAAAUUAAUAAAUAAAAAUGAGAAUAAUGAUAAAAAUGAUUUAAAUAAAUAAAUAAAUGAAUGAAUAAAUAAAUAAAUAAAUGAUAAUAAUAAUAAAAAUAAUAAUAAAUUAAUUCUUAAAUUUAUCAAUUUAGACCUUAUAAUGAGAAUACUGUUAUCAUUUCAAAGCUGUUUAUUGUAUUCUAUUCAAUCCAUUUUUUAAAAUGUUUUUUUAUCUCUUCUGCUUAUCUUAGUUCUUGUUACCUUUGCACAUUUGUGAUCUUUAACCACCUGAGCUGCUGUUGAGUCAAAGGUCAUAGUCAAAGUCUCCAGAGACUGAAGAAGUGCAGUUUUUGCAGAAACAUUCUUUUUUGUAUUUCCAUGCAAUGCAAAAAACUUAAUUUUAUACAUGUUUUGGUCUUAUUUUUUGUCUUAAUUUUCUUAGUCUAAUGAGGCUGUAUUUUAACCAAUUCAGCUGACAAAUUAAGGUAAAUCCAGACUUUGUGUUUGUAAUGACCACAAAAAAAUAUCCAAAAAUGAAAUAAGAAAAAAAAAAGACUUCAGAAGAUUCUUAUGUUGAGCACUAAGCAUCAGCAGUUUCAUUUUUAUUCAGUCCUUAUUGCUGGCUGAUAGUUGAGACAUGUUUCUGGAUUUUUCAUGUGAAUUGAGUUUUGAUUUGACCUUAUUUUUUAAAGAAUAGAUCAAAACACUGGCUUAGACGAGUUAUUGUUACAUCGUACAUCUGUUUGUGAUCCCAUGAACUCUUUUACAUAGUCCAGUUGAAUUUUGAUAAACUAUGAGUUACUUUUAGUUGCCCCAGUGUUUAAGAACCUUUAUUAAACAUGUAUUAAGUGUUAAAUUGAUCCUGCUCUCAGCUGAUUUCAUGCUUAUGUCUGUCCUCUGCACACAUGCAUGCUCUCCUCCUCCUCCUCUCUGUCUCUGAUAAUAUUUGAUCCACCCUCUCCUGUUUUCCACCUGAUAAACCUCUUUUCUGCAGCUGCAGCCCCUGCAGGCCUCAGGAGGCAAACAGAACCCUCUUUUGGUGGAAGUGGGUACUGCAGCUCAGUCAGAUGUCAUCGGAGAAAUGAAAAGGUCUCUGUCGCAACCCAGAGAUCCCUCACUCCUCCCAGCUCUGUCUGCGUGCUUAGGGUCCAGUUUAGGUUAUAAUCCCUGACAUAUGUAAGAUCUGUGUCAUGCUUUUAUUUCCUCCAUAAGCUAAAAAUCUUCCAGAGGAUGAGUGUGAAGCGUCCCUCUGUUCUAAGCUGCUUUCAGUCUGCAGCAGCAGCUGACAAAUGAAAAUGGAACACUUAUUAGAUUGAGGCCAAGAAGCAGGAUUGUGUUUUAUUGUCUGUGUUUGGACAGACCUCUCAAAGUACUCAGACAAUAUCAGGACUCUGGGGGUGAAAGCUGCCCCCACUCUUUUAGGUUUUUCAGGAAGACAGUAGAUCCAAGUCUUUCUAGCAGGCUGAUUCUAUGUUUCAAAGUCGGUCCUCCUGUGUUAUUUUCUGGCGGUCAGAGGAUGGAGUCAGUGAGUCUGCCAAGUAACUGAUUUGGUGACCUUUGUUCUCUCUGCCUCAGUUUUAUUUAUUUACUUAUUUAUUUUAUUUUAUUUAUUUAUUUUAUUCUUUGAGUGUAACAACAUCUCUGUGUCCUGCUGUUGAGACCCAUGUGAGAGCUGCAUGGUGCAAAUGUUAAGAUGCAGUAAAUAGAUCUAAAGAUGUUCCUAACAGAAAACUGAAGAGUCAAAGUGAAAGCCCAGGGGCCUUAUGUAUCAAUACUUGCGUGGAACUCAUACCAGAAACGAGCGCACGCAAGGUCCGUCACGCUGAAAAAAAUCCGUAUGUAUCAAUGUGUGCGGGCGCCGAAAUCCACGUGUGUUUCCUUGAUAAAUCCCAAUCAGCGUGGAAUUGAGCGCAGAUGUCGGAGUGACUGGGCCCAUCCCCGUUACGCCCUCCUAUAAAUAUGCAGAUUUAUUUAAAUAGGGUCUCCCUGUCCUCGCACGCAGACAAAAUGAUAAGAAAAACUAAAUUUACGGCAUGCGAGGUGGAGGUGCUGGUGGCAGAGGUGGAGGAGCGACAGUGUGUUUUGUUUGGCAGCCUGUCCAGUGGCGUCAGUGCAAAACAAAAACGCUUGGAGUGGGAGAAAGUUUGCGAGAGGGUGAAUGCGGUGGGUUCCGAGACACGCACCCCCGUGGAGAUUAAAAAAAAGUGGUCGGACCUCAAGGUGGAGGUCAAGCGGCGUACAGCUGCCCUCCGGAGGAGUACUGGCCAGACAGGUGGGGUUCUGGGGGAGGAGACCCUCACACCGUUUGAGCAGUGGGUGGUGGCGAUUAUUAUUAUAGGGUAAGUGGCGUGUCACACAAAUGUCCACAUGCUUUGUCAUCCCACUGAGCAAAAGACAUAUAUUAGACGUCUAGUCUAAGUUUAUACUUCAUUUCUACGGCAGGAUUCAGUCUAUUUUUAGACGUGAUUUAUACUACGCCCUUAACUUCAUUUUUCGAUAACUUUUUAUGCAAUAAACAACUGUAAUGUGCAUAACUGACCUCUAAAUACUGGAUUACAUUACCUAUGAUACCGUGGAGAGAGAUGUAAAUGCAACAGAUACACAGAAGCAGGAAUUGAAAUGAACAAAUAUUUUUAUUGUGUCACAGAAAUCAAUGUGUCGGCCGUGUCGCCGGCUUGUGGAACCGCGGCCCGCGGCAGCCCGUCCGCCGGCUCGGAGUCGUCGGCCAGGACCAGCGGCAUUCGGGCCACCCCGGCCCCCGGCCCCAGCACCAGCACCAGCAUCAGUACCAGCGCGCCGACAAGCGGUGGAGCGUCCACCAGCCGCGGCGCUUGCGCUGGACCACCCGGACGCAGUGGAAGGGUCCUCGCGGAGGGGGUCCUGCAAUCGCAGGAAGAAAUCAUCAGGGGGCUCAUGGGGAUCAACGAGCGGCUGGACCGGCUUGUAAAUGUCCUCGAGCGUCUGGUGGAGAAAAUAAAUUAAAUUGGCUCAUUGAACUGUGUAUUCACUUCUUACCCAUUCACACUGUGGCGAUGAGAUUCUCCCGCGCGAGGACGGCGGCCCGGCAGGGAUCAGCUCGCAUCCCUCCGUCUGCUGCUGGUUCGUCAUGUGGGGCGACGUGCUGCUCGGCCACGGGGAUGUGGUGCACGCUUGUCACAUUGUGAGUCACCAAACACCGCCACACAGCGUCGCCUAAGUGCGAAUCACAGUCAACACAAGUAUCAGCUCAACGCCAAUUUCUACACCACCUCCUUACUUUGCGUUGAUUAGCGCUGGAACCGACGCUCGUUUCGCGAUGAUAAAUCUGGACGUGUGCGCUGAUUUUGGCGUACGCAAGGUUUUCUUGCGCCGCAAGCGUUGAUACAUAAGGCCCCUGGUCUGGUCUCACAUUCACACACAGAAUAUCUCCAGCUUUUAAGUCUCAGAAGGGGUCGAAGAUCCUCGAGUCAAGACUCAAAAUGAACAGACUAGACUCGAGAGAGAGGGAGUGAGAUAGGGGGGGGGGGGAGGGGGGGGGGCAGCAGGGCUCAAAUAUAUGUAAGUGUUGGAAAGUCAUGUCCCAUUUAGGGGCUAUCGUUAGAUAGGGGAAAGUCAGAGGGAAAGGAGGGGGUAACUCUCUGAUAAUGAAUUAGCACAUCCUGCUUAUGCUAGCUUCUUUGUAAGGAUUUGUAUUCAGACAUAUGUCCUUCAGAGGUUUCUGACCACAGUUUAAAAAGAGACUGGAGACAGAUUAGCCUGAGAUCCCGAGACAGUCUGAGAUUCUGAGAUAGUCUGAGAUCCUAAAACAGUCUGAGAUUCUGAGACUGUCUGAGACUUUGAAGUAGUUUGUCAUUGUUUUGAAGUGACAUCUUUGCCGUUUGAAAAAGACCUGUUGGCUGCAGGCUGGAGGUCACAUUUGAACUGACGCCUUUAAAUAAUGUAAAAAAAAAAGGUUAGAAAGGUCUGGGUAAGUGUUUCAACGUCAGACCUCUGCAGAGUUUAUGCAGCCUCACAUCGAAGACUUAGGGCUCUAUUUCCGUGUACCCCGGUGAGGCGGCGGAGGGUGGCGGACCCCGCACAGUUGUAUUUUCGUCUGGCAGAGCCCGGCGUACAGCCAGUUUGGUAUUUUCGUGGACUGAGGCGCACGGAGAUCCGCCAAGCUGGGUGUGGUGGCGUGGCAGAGGGAGGUUUUGACAGAAUCAGCUGGCGCAGUGACAUUUUUGGCUCGCCACCGUUGUAUAAAGUGCGCUGAAAGCUCGCCGAUUCAAACCUGGUCAGCUUUCAGCGCAGGUGGAGCGCAGCUGGUCUAGUGGUAUUUUGGUAGACCGGCGGUGUAUCGGCAUACGUCACCAAUGCCUCACCGGCAGGUUUUCACAGUGUGAGGCACAUUUCAGUGCAAUAAAUAAUUAUCAACAACUAAUAAUCUGACUCAGCACAUACAUUUAGAUCUAUAUAGAUAUAUUCUGAUCUAUAUCUGAUCUGAUGAGCGCGUUUGGCAUGCGUUUGGACACACAACCUGACCAAAUCAACACAGCUGAAACCGCAUUAAAUUAAAUUAAAUAUCUAGUAAAUAGACACACAUGAUGAAGUUAACAAGAUAUGUAAUUUGUCUCCCUCCUUUUCUUUCUUCCUCUUCCUCUUAUUUCUCACACAGCCGGACCUGGACAUGUCUCUGUGUCCUCUCCCCGUCCUGCUGCAGCUGCUGCUGCUGCGGCGGCUGAACAGGUGAUUUGUUUCCGUGAUCAGAUAAGUUAUCUACUUUAAGCCUACAUACGAAUAUUAUAAUAUUCAGUUUUGUGGGCCAAAUUUAUUUUAUGCCAACAUCUAGAAAAGAAAGAGCCAGGCCACGGAGCGCGAUGCGUCAUUACGAACAGAUGGUCCCGAUUUUAAUGCAAUUUUUUAAAUUUAUGUUGUGAACUGUGCGCACAACCCACCUUUGUCACGUGAGGUUUGAAUAUAUGCAACUUAAUGUGAGUGUCUUUAUUUGUGGAAAGGGAUGUUUGUCUUAUUAGUGGGUCCAACUUUACACACACCAAAUCCAUCUGUGCUCAUAUGAGAGAGUGUGGAGGACGCCUUCUGCAGCGACACUUGUUGAGGAGCUGCCUUCUGUUGCCAUCAUGUGGCAUUGCUGUCUUCAGACAUCUCUUAAUCUCUUUGACUACUUCACGAAAAUAGUAAUACGCCUCGCCAGUGGCGGAUUUAAAGGCGAGGAGAGGAGCUUAUGUUAUUGGUCAAUACAGGUCUCGGCUGUGUUAAACCCACUCCACACCCUCUCUCCUCCCUCUCUACGACUUAAGCCGCUGGGAGGAGCUGAUUUAGGGAGGGGGGAUACUUACGCCAGACUGUGCCGCUCACCAAAAUACCAAAUUGUGCUUGGGAAAGCCUUGAUGGCGCGGCGGACCUGACUUACGCCGCGCCUGCGGCACGUCUCCGGCGAGGCACAAAAAUAGAGCCCUUAGACUUCUACAGAGUUCAUGCAGCCUCCCAGCCUUGAGGACCUCUGCGGCAUUUACACAGCCUCACUUUGAGGAUCAGUGUGCAGCUGACGGCUGUGGGUGUGUUGUUCUUUGAGAUAAUGUCACCUUACUAUUGAAGGCACAUAUUGCUCAGUGUGAGAGUGACUGCUUUCAGCCCACACAAACAAAGCAGAUGUUGUGAGUGUCAGGGGUUGGCCUGCAAGCUGCAGCGACUGUAAUCGACUAUUUAAACAGCUGAGAGACACUGAUGUCAGCUAAAACACAGAUUUACACUCUGACAUCCCUCUGCUGCCACCACACACGCCUUACUUUGUGUUCAGCUCACAGGGAUGUGCUCUGAUAUUACCAUAAUGAUUGAAUGUAUGUGCCCAUCACUGUGUUAGCACCCAUCUAUCACCAGGUCACUACAGGUCAACUCUCCAGUUUAAGUUAAAUUUAGAUCACAAAAACCAGCCAGGACAGCAUAUCAUUGAAAAUGUCUAUGAAAACUGUCAAAUAGUGGAGGCAAAAAUAAGUGGGUUAGUGGAUCUGAACUGAUGAACUGAUUUUAACUGUAAAGGCAUGCUAGUGCUGGUUUGCAGCACCUGGACCAACAAGAAAUCACCACAGCUCCACAGUUAUGAUCAGGAUCUGUUCUGUUUUCCUGCAAACUGACCUCUCAGAAGAUGUAACGGCAGCUUAGGUAGCUGAAAAUCAGAAAUAAGAUGUGCAAAAGUCCAAAAAACUCUUUUGUUUUAAUCAAAUGUUUCCCUUGCAGUGACAGGUCCAACACUGUCUUUUAUUUUGUCCACAAAAGAAAAGGAUUUAAGGACUUUAAAGGUCCAUCAGAGCCACGGAACUCCUUUCACAUCAAUGUGGAUGGAUAACUUACUCAAAGCCGGUUUCAUUUCCAUGAGCAUCCCACCGCAGCCUUUGUUGCUGCUGUAACAAAGAUGGCAGUAGCUUCCAUCAAGCUGAAUGACAGAACUGCAUGGCAUUGGAGUGAGGCGUACAGGCAGGGUGGGAUGAAGAGCCUUGGGGGGUUACAGUCAGUUUGUCAGAGAAACUCUACAGCCACCAGAGCGCCAGCCUGCUUCACUUUGAAUUCCUGGUCUCGCCGCAUGAAAUCCCCCUUCCUAAAACAGCCCCCUUUGUCACCUGCUCCACUUUGACCCGUCCUGCCUGCCUGGAGAGAGACGAUAGUUACUCUGGCUGUAAGUUAAAUAUUUAAUUCCCUUCUUAUUCUUUCAAAUAGGACAAAGAAGGAGGAGGAGACCAAGUGAUGUGAUUGUGGUGGAUUUGAAGGAUGGGAUUACAGCAGAAGAAGAGGAAAGGACAAGAGACUGUAAGUAGGCCAAUCUGUGUCAGGUACACUUAAGGCGUUGAGCUUAACAGAUAUGUCAGCACGGCUAAAUGUGGGGCUGUCACCUCCCAAAACCAAAGGGUUAAAGACAAGGUCUAAAAACCUGAUACUGGUAUCACAUAAAAAAAGAGAGAGAACAGCAGGGGAAAGAGAG
RNAcentral lists this long non-coding RNA (8157 nucleotides) under Xyrichtys novacula (pearly razorfish). Lineage: Eukaryota; Metazoa; Chordata; Actinopteri; Labriformes; Labridae. The record is from RNAcentral.